Molecule: non-coding RNA, 338 nt
Organism: Schizosaccharomyces pombe (fission yeast)
Lineage: Eukaryota; Fungi; Ascomycota; Schizosaccharomycetes; Schizosaccharomycetales; Schizosaccharomycetaceae
Source: the annotation of a GenBank genome assembly
UAGAAAGAAAGGUUAGUCAUUUAGUGAGGUUUAAUGAGUUAAAAUGUGCUGCUAGGAAGCUCCCUAAAACGUAAACAAAAAACGCCGUUAAUGGGAAAAACUAACAAUAGCAAGACUCAUUUACUUGUAAGAUAUUAUAUCUAUUCAGGGUAGAUAAAUUUUGUCAGUUUCGAGAUGAUCAUUUACGUUCUUGAAACAGCUGGUCGUACUAUAGAUUACUAAAUAAGGUAGAGCACUGUAGUAUUGUGACACAAAUCGGUGCUCACUAUUGGAAUUAAACAAAAUUAUAUAAACGGUUGCUGAGACCAUGUAAACAAUCAUAUUGAAGACUAUUAAUU